Molecule: transfer RNA, 72 nt
Filed under: Loxodonta africana (African savanna elephant)
Lineage: Eukaryota; Metazoa; Chordata; Mammalia; Proboscidea; Elephantidae
Rfam family: tRNA
About the family: Transfer RNA (tRNA) molecules are approximately 80 nucleotides in length.
Source: Rfam by way of RNAcentral
GUUCUGGUGGCACAAUGAGUAAGUGCUCAGUUCCUAACUGAAAGGUCGGUGGUUCAAACCCACCCAGCAGCU